GACGUAUUAUGUCUGCCAGCAGUUGGCUUAAAAACUACGAAAUUGAUGCUAUAAUGUAUGUUUUCCGGGAAAGAACAACAUUGAAACGAUGGAACGUAGAUCGUGUUGCUUUCAUGACAUGCGUCUUCAGCGACCUCAUUGCUAAGGAUUACCAGAAUUUCUGUAAGGGAA
Brassica napus (rape) is the source of this 171-nucleotide long non-coding RNA. RefSeq lists it as uncharacterized. The transcript is spliced from 2 exons. Lineage: Eukaryota; Viridiplantae; Streptophyta; Magnoliopsida; Brassicales; Brassicaceae. The record is from RefSeq and is a predicted model, not a curated record.